GGGCGGUUAGCUCAGCGGUAGAGCGCCUGCCUUACAAGCAGGUAGCCACUGGUUCAAAUCCAGUACCGCCCA
Molecule: transfer RNA, 72 nt
Filed under: Catenella caespitosa
Lineage: Eukaryota; Rhodophyta; Florideophyceae; Gigartinales; Caulacanthaceae
Also listed under: 1 other name
Description: tRNA-Val
Rfam family: tRNA
About the family: Transfer RNA (tRNA) molecules are approximately 80 nucleotides in length. Their secondary structure includes four short double-helical elements and three loops (D, anti-codon, and T loops).
Source: RNAcentral